RNAcentral lists this ribosomal RNA (255 nucleotides) under uncultured bacterium. Its description in RNAcentral is "partial 16S ribosomal RNA". It matches the Rfam family "Bacterial small subunit ribosomal RNA", at positions 524 to 776 of the family's 1533-position model. The record is from RNAcentral.
GACAGAGGGUGCAAACGUUGCUCGGAAUCACUGGGCGUAAAGGGCGUGUAGGCGGGAAGGAAAGUCAGAUGUGAAAUCCCCAGGCUCAACCUGGGAACUGCAUUUGAAACUCCCUUUCUUGAGUAUCGGAGAGGAAAGCGGAAUUCCUGGUGUAGAGGUGAAAUUCGUAGAUAUCAGGAGGAACACCAGUGGCGAAGGCGGCUUUCUGGACGAUAACUGACGCUGAGACGCGAAAAGCGUGGGGGAGCAAACAGG